AACGACGCUGGCGGCAGGCCUAACACAUGCAAGUCGAGCGGGCAUCCUUCGGGAUGUUAGCGGCGGACGGGUGAGUAACGCGUGGGAACGUGCCCUUUGCUACGGAAUAGCCUCGGGAAACUGAGAGUAAUACCGUAUGUGCCCUUCGGGGGAAAGAUCUAUCGGCAAAGGAUCGGCCCGCAUUUGAUUAGUUAGUUGGUGAGGUAAUGGCUCACCAAGACAAUGAUCAAUAGCUGAUCUGAGAGGAUGAUCAGCCACACUGGGACUGAGACACGGCCCAGACUCCUACGGGAGGCAGCAGUGGGGAAUCUUGCACAAUGGAGGAAACUCUGAUGCAGCGAUGCCGCGUGAGUGAAGAAGGCCUUUGGGUUGUAAAGCUCUUUUGUAGGGGAAGAUAAUGACUGUACCCUAAGAAUAAGGUCCGGCUAACUUCGUG
RNAcentral lists this ribosomal RNA (436 nucleotides) under uncultured bacterium. RNAcentral describes it as "bacterial SSU rRNA". It matches the Rfam family "Bacterial small subunit ribosomal RNA", at positions 32 to 507 of the family's 1533-position model. The record is from RNAcentral.